This 590-nucleotide ribosomal RNA is filed under the name uncultured Leptolinea sp. RNAcentral describes it as "bacterial SSU rRNA". It matches the Rfam family "Bacterial small subunit ribosomal RNA", at positions 917 to 1519 of the family's 1533-position model. The record is from RNAcentral. Lineage: Bacteria; Bacillati; Chloroflexota; Anaerolineae; Anaerolineales; Anaerolineaceae.
GGCCCCGCACAAGCAGCGGAGCGUGUGGUUUAAUUCGAUGCUACACGAAGAACCUUACCAGGGUUUGACAUGCAAGUGGUAGGAAACCGAAAGGUGACCGACUCUUCGGAGAGCUUGCACAGGUGCUGCAUGGCUGUCGUCAGCUCGUGUCGUGAGAUGUUCGGUUAAGUCCGCUAACGAGCGCAACCCUCGCUGUGUGUUACAAGUGUCACACGGUACUGCCGGUCUUAAGCCGGAGGAAGGUGGGGAUGACGUCAAGUCAGCAUGGCCUUUAUAUCCUGGGCUACACACACGCUACAAUGGCCAACACAAUAGGUUGCUAAACCGCGAGGUGGAGCCAAUCCAAAAAAGUUGGUCUCAGUUCAGAUUGUAGGCUGCAACUCGCCUGCAUGAAGAUGGAGUUGCUAGUAAACGCAGGUCAGCUAUACUGCGUUGAAUACGUUCCCGGGGCUUGUACACACCGCCCGUCACGUCAUGGAAGUUGGCAACACCUGAAGCCGGUAUCCUAACCGUAAGGAGGGAGCCGUCGAAGGUGGGGUCGAUAACUGGGACGAAGUCGUAACAAGGUAGGUGUACCGGAAGGUGCGCCU